UACGUAGGGACCGAGCGUUGUCCGGAAUCAUUGGGCGUAAAGAGCGUGUAGGCGGCCCCUUAAGUCCUGCGUGAAAUCCUGCGGCUCAACCGCAGACGGUCGUGGGAAACUGGAGGGCUAGAGUGCGGGAGAGGAGAGUGGAAUUCCCGGUGUAGCGGUGAAAUGCGCAGAUAUCGGGAAGAACACCAGUGGCGAAAGCGGCUCUCUGGGACGGUACUGACGCUGAGACGCGAAAGCGUGGGGAGCGAACAGG
Molecule: ribosomal RNA, 253 nt
Filed under: uncultured bacterium
Lineage: Bacteria
Description: partial 16S ribosomal RNA
Rfam family: Bacterial small subunit ribosomal RNA
Source: RNAcentral